CUUGGCUUUUUUCAUCGCCGGGAAAAUUGGGGCUGCGGCGGGGCCGGCGGCGGCGGUGGUGGUGGAGGAGGAGGAAUAAGGUGAUGCGGAGCGCUUGCUGGGGUUGGUGGAGGUGGGGGUGGAGGUGGUAGGUUGAGACAUAGAAGAAAUAUGAAAUCUCAACGAGAGCUCCUCA
Molecule: non-coding RNA, 175 nt
Organism: Sesamum indicum (sesame)
Lineage: Eukaryota; Viridiplantae; Streptophyta; Magnoliopsida; Lamiales; Pedaliaceae
Source: RefSeq, a predicted model, not a curated record